GGCAGAUUUUGAAAGGGAAAUCCAUAUCAGUAUAUCGGAUUCACAAAGCUUUUCGGUGGGAACCUUCAAACUUACAAUGUCGGGCACGGCGUCGUGAGUAAUAAAGUAAUGUCCUGCAAAAGCGAAAGGACAUCAUUAUCCAUUAGCUAAUCGAAUGAUCGGUGAGUGCUGGCUGAAGGAUAAUGGCACAUGUUGGGGCAGUAGUUGCAGCGAUGGCCGGUGUGAUGGCCAUUCUGCUUCAUUCUUCCAUUCACAAGAUUGAGGAAGGACAUUUAGCUGUGUAUUACAGAGGAGGAGCAUUGUUGACAUCUCCUAAUGGCCCGGGUUACCAUAUAAUGCUGCCUUUCAUCACCUCAUAUAGAUCAGUGCAGACUACUCUGCAAACAGAUGAAAUAAAAAAUGUGCCUUGUGGAACCAGGUAAUCCUUUGUGUUGUUGUUAUUCCAUCAAUAUGUCCU
Molecule: long non-coding RNA, 457 nt
Organism: Sinocyclocheilus grahami
Lineage: Eukaryota; Metazoa; Chordata; Actinopteri; Cypriniformes; Cyprinidae
Exons: 4
Source: RefSeq, a predicted model, not a curated record